CUUACCACUCUCUACAACCACCUGAAAGGAGGGUGUAGCCAGUUCAUCUCUUCAAUUCAAGAUACAAGACAGGACCACCAAUACAGAAACAGAUUUUGUUAUUCCUGGAGUAAUCAACAAUAUUGGCAUGCUAACAAUGCCUAAAAUUCUUCCUGAGUAACUGUGUGAGAACACAUCUUCACUUGUUAGUCAGCUCUCAAAGCUGCCAAGGCAUCUUGGAUACGGCUUCAAAAGCACUUAAGAAACACCAAAAAUAUCAUUGCGUGAAUGGCUUCAUAAGUGCUGAAUACUGAGUGGCUUAGAAAUAAACAUGUUCAUUGCUGAAUUCUUUAACUACUGUGA
This is a long non-coding RNA of Corvus hawaiiensis (hawaiian crow), 342 nucleotides long. RefSeq lists it as uncharacterized. The record is from RefSeq and is a predicted model, not a curated record. The transcript is spliced from 2 exons. NCBI's taxonomy places the organism in Eukaryota, Metazoa, Chordata, Aves, Passeriformes, Corvidae.